AUUGAACGCUGGCGGCAGGCCUAACACAUGCAAGUCGAGCGGAUGAAGGGAGCUUGCUCCUGGAUUCAGCGGCGGACGGGUGAGUAAUGUCUAGGAAUCUGCCUGGUAGUGGGGAAUAACGUCCGGAAACGGGCGCUAAUACCGCAUACGUCCUGAGGGAGAAAGUGGGGGAUCUUCGGACCUCACGCUAUCAGAUGAGCCUAGGUCGGAUUAGCUAGUUGGUGGGGUAAAGGCCUACCAAGGCGACGAUCCGUAACUGGUCUGAGAGGAUGAUCAGUCACACUGGAACUGAGACACGGUCCAGACUCCUACGGGAGGCAGCAGUGGGGAAUAUUGGACAAUGGGCGAAAGCCUGAUCCAGCCAUGCCGCGUGUGUGAAGAAGGUCUUCGGAUUGUAAAGCACUUUAAGUUGGGAGGAAGGGCAGUAAGUUAAUACCUUGCUGUUUUGACGUUACCAACAGAAUAAGCACCGGCUAACUUCGUG
This 484-nucleotide ribosomal RNA is filed under the name uncultured bacterium. Its description in RNAcentral is "partial 16S ribosomal RNA". It matches the Rfam family "Bacterial small subunit ribosomal RNA", at positions 30 to 507 of the family's 1533-position model. The record is from RNAcentral.